This is a long non-coding RNA of Arachis duranensis, 1658 nucleotides long. RefSeq lists it as uncharacterized. The transcript is spliced from 3 exons. NCBI's taxonomy places the organism in Eukaryota, Viridiplantae, Streptophyta, Magnoliopsida, Fabales, Fabaceae. The record is from RefSeq and is a predicted model, not a curated record.
UAUAUCACAUUUCAGUGAUAAAAUAAAACACUUGAUAUAAAGAUAAAGGUGAAACAGCAACGUUAGGUUAUAGUCAGAAAACUGGAGCUCUCAAAAUUUCUUGAUGCAUCUUCUUGGUGGCCUCCACAAUCUCCAAGACCGGCUUCUCUCUCUGAACAAAUACAAAUUCAUUCCUCCCUUUCCAUAUUCCCCAGCAUAAAAGAGCAAUAUACUCCAUCUUCCCUCUUCCGUCACUCCUUGUUCUAGCAGCUUCAAGUCUUCUACUCCACCACUCAGCAAAAUUCGGUUGAACCAGCUCACGAACAUCUAAGUUCAUAGGGGGCAGUACCACGCUGGUGCCGAUUCGGGACAGGACAGGAGGCAGUGCAAGAUGGUUUCCUCAGCAACUUGGCAUCUUGAACAAAUUGGUGAGGGUGAUUGGAAUCUUCAGUGAAUUAGUUCCACAACUGGUAACCUUUUGUGAAUGGCUCGCCAAAUAAAGAAGAGGACUUUUGAAGGUACCUUCACCCCCACAGACUUUUAUUUUUCAUAAUUUGGGGGCACAAAAAAACAGGGAGAUGCCGAAGCCCAUAUGCUAUUUGAUAACCAAAAGAAACCUCAUACGCUUCGCUUUUAGUCACCACUUGAGCUUUGAAUCGAUGUGUUCAAAAUACUAGCAGCAAUACUUGGAGGGAAUGAACUUUCUAUUAAUUGUUGAUUUCAUCUUCUCCCUUCUGAAAACAGGUCCUUUACCCAAUAUAGAUUUCGGUUGUGGUUGUUUGGCAAAUUAAUUGUGAAUGGAUAUAGAGAUUGCAACCAUGGGUCAGUAAAAAUACGUACACUGUCCCCAGAUCCUAUCUUCCACCUCAGUCCCUUUUUUAUUACUGUUCUUCCUACUCAAUAGACUCUGCCAACCCCAAGAAGAUUGGUUUUUUUUGUCUGCAUUCAUCAAAGAAGAGUAGCGGAAGUACUUGCCUUUCAACUUUGCCAGGAGAGAUCGAGGUCUGUUAACUAUGCGCCAACACUGUUUUCCCAGUAAUGCCAAGUUUUGUGCUCUCAACUCUUUAAAUCCAAGCCAUUUUUCUCUCCUACCCCCUUUGACCCAACCAAAAUUGAGUGAGUAUUCUGUGAACAUCAUUCAACAAAGUAUUGGGUUUAAAACAAUAUAGCGUACAAAUCAGAACCGCUUCACCUACAGCUUUAAUCAGUACAUGUCCCCCCCGGUGGAGCAAGUUCCUCUUCCAAUAUUGCACCUUCUUUUGGACUUUUGUUUUGAUGUCACUGAAGGUAGUUUUCUUAGAGCGAUGGACCACCGAUGGGAAUGCCAGGUAAUUUCACUUUUUGCCUGCUUAUACUUUCAUAAUUCUUGAGCAAUGAGAGGAUAUUCUGGCAAUGUUCUGGCAAUACCUUACCAAAGAGAAUUGAGUCAUCUGCAAAUACAGCAAGCGUUGCUUGAUUCUCUAGCAUGGUGAACUCUUUAUGGACAACAUUCCACAAAUAUUGUGCUUGUAGAAAGAUUUUCAUUUGAGAAUGUAGUCCUCAUAAUUCUCUUUAGACAAUAUGGGCACAAAAAUAUUUAUAGUUGAGAUAAUCAUGGUUAUGGAAAAAUUUAUUGGAGUGGGUUAUAAUGUGGUGGAUAUGUAUAAUUAAUAGGUUAAGAAGAAAGAUUUUACACCCAA